Molecule: transfer RNA, 84 nt
Filed under: Apiotrichum porosum
Lineage: Eukaryota; Fungi; Basidiomycota; Tremellomycetes; Trichosporonales; Trichosporonaceae
Description: Trichosporon porosum tRNA
Rfam family: tRNA
About the family: Transfer RNA (tRNA) molecules are approximately 80 nucleotides in length. Their secondary structure includes four short double-helical elements and three loops (D, anti-codon, and T loops). Further hydrogen bonds mediate the characteristic L-shaped molecular structure. tRNAs have two regions of fundamental functional importance: the anti-codon, which is responsible for specific mRNA codon recognition, and the 3' end, to which the tRNAs corresponding amino acid is attached (by aminoacyl-tRNA synthetases). tRNAs cope with the degeneracy of the genetic code in two manners: having more than one tRNA (with a specific anti-codon) for a particular amino acid; and 'wobble' base-pairing, i.e. permitting non-standard base-pairing at the 3rd anti-codon position.
Source: Rfam by way of RNAcentral
GGUUCCAUCGUAUAACGGUCAGUACAUAAGAUUCUGAUCCUGUGGAUAGUUCUUGUAAUCUGGGUUCGAUUCCCAGUGGGACCU